UCACGGAAUCAACAAUUCCAUUCUCUCACCGUGGUUGCUUUGCCGUGAACACGACAAAUUAUUCGAGCUCCUCUACAGCUCCUUUCAGGGUAUCACCACAGCGUCAGGCAAGCAUGACCGGAGCAACCAUACUUGAAAUCUUACUUGCAGCAUUUAUGAUAGCGGCUGUUGAGCCGUCUGAUGGAUACACCUGCGUACCGCCUGAGGGAGGCUGUCCAGUGGGCCAGAACUCCCAGCGGUUCUUCCUCAACCGUAGCGCCCAUGAUUGCUACGGCCUGCACACAAGUGGAUGUGAUGGACAGGGAUUCGACUCUAUAGUGUCUUGUAAAAUUAGCUGUCUUGGAAAGAGGUAAUUGUAGACUUGCCAUUGUGUCGGCCGGAACAUCAUACUAAAUGUUGGAUGAAAAUAAAACUAGGACAAAAUUCACCUG
Dermacentor andersoni is the source of this 431-nucleotide long non-coding RNA. RefSeq lists it as uncharacterized. Lineage: Eukaryota; Metazoa; Arthropoda; Arachnida; Ixodida; Ixodidae. The record is from RefSeq and is a predicted model, not a curated record.